GAGUCGCAGAAGCGUUUGAUUGUCAACUGGUCGGUGUCACCAUGGAGGGUCUCGUGGUUUUGCGUCGUGUUGCCUACUCUGUGUUUUCGUUUGCUCUUUCGCUGCACCUGGCCAGUGCCUUGGCCCUCUACAACAACCUCCGACCUUGUCCGGUUUUGAGACCAGCUAAGAUCGUCGACUUGGAUGAGUUGCUGGGCAAAUGGCACUUGGCGUACCUGAUCCUGGAUGCUGCAAGCGAGGAGUAUGUAGAGAACUCGUUGUGCGUUCGGGGUGAAUUGCAGCGGCUCAACGAGACAAGCUUGCGGCAGGUCUGGAACGUGGACAUGCCCGGGAUGAUGGGCGAACACAGCGCCGUUCUCGACCUACCCACGCACUUAGUCAAGCCUGCAGUUUGGACGGUCCUCACCCCACUUGGAGGUGAGGUCAAGGCAACUGUUGUGGACACGGACCCCAAAUCAUACAUGGUUGUCAGUCACUGCGGUAUGCAUCACGGAACACUGGUGCAUCUCUGGACUGGCAUUGUAACGCGCGCAAAAAAGCUCGGGCCAAUGGAGCAAUUGCAACUAACUUCACUCCUCAUUCAGCAUGGUUUCAAUCCGACGGUCAACAAAAUCAUAACGUGGAAUGACUGCUGAUCGCAAUAAAUACACAUACUUAUUGCAAAGAGCCCCUUGUUCUUGUUUUUGUCUAUUCAUUAUUUUUAUUAGAUCCCUUAUUUUUUAAUCGUGUUACUUACAAAAGAAACUUUUCAAGUUUUAAAAAUAGGUUUACAAAACCAUGCAACCAAAAUUGGAUCGGGUUUAACAGAAAGGAACCAAGCCACAUCAGCUAUUGCCAAAUUUAAUCGGGCAAUUUAAUUUUUUACGAGAAAACGUUUGUGCAGAUUCCUUUGAAAAUUUUAAAGAAUUUGAUUCGAACUAUGGAGAUAAUUCACUGAAAUCUGCACGAAAAUCCGCUCAAUAGUUUUCAUGCAAAAAAUUAAGACGCACAAUUAAAUUUGGCAAUUGCUGAU
Molecule: long non-coding RNA, 1012 nt
Filed under: Bemisia tabaci
Lineage: Eukaryota; Metazoa; Arthropoda; Insecta; Hemiptera; Aleyrodidae
Description: lncRNA ENSASIAIIG008463
Source: RNAcentral